CCAAUAUAACAUCUAAAUUACUUCAAUCUAGUUUACAGCCAUCAUCAAUCCCUACUUAUCGCCGGGCCUGGAACCUGUAUAGCCAGUUUUCAAAUGUAGUUUUCCAUACAGCUUUAGUAAAUUUGCCCAUAUCGCCUUCUAAUUUAGGUUUGUUUAUAGCCUACAUGUUUCAGCGCAAUUAUGCUGCUUCGACUGCGAACACGUAUGUCUCUGCACUGGGUUAUUAUCAUCGCCUUGCAGGCGUGCCAGACCCAACUAGGGUCUUUUGGGUGAUUGAAAUGUUGAAAGGGUAUGGCAAACUUGGGUCGCGCUUGGAUACACGCAUGCCCAUAACUCUUUCUAUCCUUCGCACGGUGUUGCAACAAACAUCAACCAUAUGUGCGAGCGAAUACCGUGCGUGUAUGUUUAAAGCAAUGUGUACAACGGCAUUUUUUGCCUUUUUACGUGUUGGGGAAAUCACUUGUUGUCCCAGGUCAUCGAGUGUGCUUCAGUUAAAUCAGAUUGUCCAACUUGUCGACCAUUCAGGCGGCGUAAUUGGACUGAAAAUCACAUUUUUUUAUUUUAAGCAUUCUUACAACCAAACAAAUGUAUCAAUCACUCUUAAGCGUCGUUCAGAUAUAUGCCCAGUGCAGAGCUUACUGGAUUAUUUUUCACGCCGUGGUUUGUCGGAUGGCCCGCUUUUUCGAACGCACGAGGGCCACGCGGUUUCACGCAAACUUUUUACUGACUAUUUAGCACUCAUUUUCAAGACAUGUGGUCUCGAUCCAACUAAAUACAAAGGACAUAGUUUCCGCAUUGGCGCGGCAACAUUUGCUGUGGAAUGCGGUUUUUCUGAUGCCCAAAUUCGAUCAAUGGGUCGGUGGAAAUCCGACGCCUUUCGUAAGUAUAUUCGAGGUCCAGGCCUGUGC
Molecule: non-coding RNA, 908 nt
Organism: Paramuricea clavata
Lineage: Eukaryota; Metazoa; Cnidaria; Anthozoa; Malacalcyonacea; Plexauridae
Source: the annotation of a GenBank genome assembly